RNAcentral lists this ribosomal RNA (713 nucleotides) under uncultured organism. RNAcentral describes it as "bacterial SSU rRNA". It matches the Rfam family "Bacterial small subunit ribosomal RNA", at positions 91 to 824 of the family's 1533-position model. The record is from RNAcentral.
GAAAGUGGCAAACGGGCGAGUAACACGUAUUUAACUUACCUCGGAGCGGAGUAUAACUAUGGAGACAUAGCUAAUCCUCCAUACGCUCUACAGAAUGAAAAUAUGUAGAGGAAAGAUUUAUCACUCUGAGAGAGGGAUGCGUCCUAUCAGGUAGUUGGUGAGGUAACUGCUCACCAAGCCUAUGACGGGUAACCGGUCUGAGAGGAUGUCCGGUCGCAAUGGAACUGAGACACGGUCCAUACUCCUACGGGAGGCAGCAGUGGGGAAUCUUGCGCAAUGGGCGAAAGCCUGACGCAGCCACUCCGCGUGGGGGAUGAAGCCUUGAGGGGCGUAAACUCCUUUUCUGGGGGAAGACGAAUGACGGUACCUCAGGAAUAAGGGACGGCUAACUACGUGCCAGCAGCCGCGGUAAUACGUAGGUCCCAAGCGUUAUCCGGAUUUACUGGGCGUAAAGCGUCUGCAGCCGGAAUUGUAAGUCUAUUUUCAAAGACUCCGACUUAAUCGGAGGAAGGGAAUAGAUACUGCUUUUCUUGAGUAUUUUAGGAGUUAGUGGAAUUUCCAGUGGAGCGGUGAAAUGCGUUGAUAUUGGAAGGAACGCCAAAAGCGAAAGCAGCUAACUAUAAAACUACUGACGGUCAGAGACGAAAGCUUGGGUAGCAAACGGGAUUAGAUACCCCGGUAGUCCAAGCCGUAAAUUUUGUUCGCUAGAUGUG